RNAcentral lists this unclassified non-coding RNA (269 nucleotides) under Hevea brasiliensis (rubber tree). Lineage: Eukaryota; Viridiplantae; Streptophyta; Magnoliopsida; Malpighiales; Euphorbiaceae. The record is from RNAcentral.
CAAGAGCAGCAGAACAAGGGCGAAAAAAAAUCUAGUAGAAAAAAAAAAUGGAGGUUGUUGACGAUGGUGAUGAUAUGAUGGAAAUGAUCCGCACCAUCGCCUCUGCUGCUCCUCACUUCCUCGAUACUAUUCCUACAAGGUACUCCUUGAAGGUUCCCUUCCAUUCCUCUUCAUUUUAGGUCUGUAGAAUUUUUUUUUUAAAAGAAUUUUCUUCUGGGGAUUGCGUGAAAAUUAGUAAUAAUAAUAAUAAUCGUUAUUAGGUAGCGGAG